GAUGAACGCUGGCGGCGUGCCUAAUGCAUGCAAGUCGAGCGAACGGACGAGAAGCUUGCGUCUCUGAUGUUAGCGGCGGACGGGUGAGUAACACGUGGAUAAUCUACCUAUAAGACGGGGAUAAUUUCGGGAAACCGGAGCUAAUACCGGAUAAUAUUUUGAUCCGUAUGGUUCAAAAGUGAAAGACGGUGUUGCUGUCACUUAUAGAUGGAUCUGCGCUGCAUUAGCUAGUUGGUAAGGUAACGGCUUAUCAAGGCAACGAUGCAUAGCCGACCUCAUGGGGGGGUAGCCCGCAUGGGAGCGGAGACGGGGACCUGGCGCCUGCGGGACGCAGCAGUAUGGAAUCUGCCGCAGUAGGCGAGAGCCUGGCAGAGCAGCGCCGCGUGAGUGAUGGAAGUCUCCGGAUCGUAAAACUCUGUUAUGAGUGAAGAACAUAUGUGGAAGUAGCUGUGCACAUCUUGACGGUAACUAAUCAGAAAGCCACGGCUAACUACGUG
RNAcentral lists this ribosomal RNA (497 nucleotides) under uncultured bacterium. RNAcentral's name for it is "partial 16S ribosomal RNA". It matches the Rfam family "Bacterial small subunit ribosomal RNA", at positions 28 to 507 of the family's 1533-position model. The record is from RNAcentral.